CGGUCAUGUCCUUUGAUAGCUGUCUCGGUCAUGUCCUUUGAUAUCUGUCUCGAUAAUGUCCUUUGAUAUCUGUCUCGGUCAUGUCCUUUGAUAUCUGUCUCGGUCAUGUCCUUUGAUAUCUGUCUCGGUCAUGUCCUUUGAUAUCUGUCUCGGUCAUGUCCUUUGAUAUCUGUCUCGAUAAUGUCCUUUGAUAGCUGUCUCGGUCAUGUCCUUUGAUAUCUGUCUCGGUCAUGUCCUUUGAUAUCUGUCUCGAUAAUGUCCUUUGAUAGCUGUCUCGGUAAUAUCCUUUAUCUGUUUCGGUAAUGUCCUUAAUCUGUCUCGGUAAUGUCCUUAAUCUGUCUCGGUAAUGUUCUUUAUCUGUCUCGGUAAUGUCCUUAAUCUGUCUCGGUAAUGAACUUAAUCUGUCUCGGUCAUGUACUUUGAUAGCUGUCUUGGUCAUGUCCUUUGAUAGCUGUCUCAGUCAUGUCCUUUGAUGGCUGUCUCGGUCAUGUCCUGUGAUAGCUGUCUCUGUAAUGUCCUGUGAUGAGCUGUCUCUGUAAUGUCCUGUGAUGAGCUCCAGCCUGUGUCGGAUCCAUGUUCGUCCCAGUCAAAAGAAGAGAAGUCUCCACACUGUGUAGGAGCUAACUGUGGGAAAUGUCCACCUCCAAUUCACCACAAACACUCACACACACAAAAUAUGAGAAAAACACAGGACACAAAUAAGAAAGACAUAAGACACACACACACAAUAUAUGAUAAAAGCAUGCAGGCCACACACACACACACACACACACACACACACACACACAAACUUUGACUCACAUGUUCACUGUUGCAGCCUAUUGCUUUGAUCCUAUUGCUCUGAAAGUGAUCAAUAAAAAUAAAAUAAAAAAUAUGUACUUCUAUCGAUUUCAAAAUGUAUAUAAUUAUUCAAAUCACUAUUAGUCAGUAUCAUCUUCUAAUAUACAGAUGUAAGUCCCUUUCUUUCCAAUAUAUUUAUCCCUCUCAUUGAUUAUUUAAGCAUUAAGGCAUGAGAACCUGGGGAUUAUCGUUUGACAACUGGAUUUCGCCUUGGGCCUAAGAACAGCUCUUAGUUGGGAGUUAUCCCACGAUAAUCCCCGGGUUUGAGGGCCGUAUUGCUUUAUAAAACGGUUGGCAACAUACAGUGAGCUCCAACAGUAUUGGGACAGUGACAAAAUAUUUGGUUUUGGCUCUGUACUCCAGCACUUUGGAUUUUAAAUGAUAUAAAGUACAGACUGUCAGCUUUAAUUUAAGAGUAUUUUCAGCACUUUUUGUACAUAGUCCCCCCAUUUUAGGGGCCCAAAAGUAUUGGGACAAAUUCAGUUCUCUGUGUAUUAAAGUAGGGAAAAGUGAAUUAUUUGGUGCCAAUUUUCAUAAACAGCAAUGACUACAUCAAGCUUGUGACUCAAAAAAAUUGUUGGAUGCAUUUGCUGUUUAUUUUGGUUGCGUUUCCAAAUAUUUUGUGCCCAAUAGAAAUGAAUGGUAAAUAAUGUAUUGUGUCAUUUUGGAGUCACUUUUAUUGUACAUUUUAAUAGAAUAUGUUUCUAAACACUUCUACAUUAAUGUGGAUAAUCCGUAAUGAAUCGUGAAUAAUGAUGAGUGAGAAAGUUAGACGCACAAAUAUCAUACCCUCAAGACAUGCUAACCUCUCACCAUUACAAUAACAGGGGAGGGUAGAAUUUUAUAUCAUACCCCCAAGACAUGCUAACCUCUCACCAUUACAAUAACAGGGGAGGGUAGAAUUUUUAUCAUACCCCCAAAACAUGCUAACCUCUCACCAUUACCAAUAACAGGGGAGGUUAGCAUUUUAUAUCAUAACCCCAAGACAUGCUAACAUCUCACCAUUACAAUAACAGGGGAGGUUAGCAUUUUAUAUCAUACCCCCAAGACAUGCUAACC
RNAcentral lists this long non-coding RNA (1899 nucleotides) under Salmo salar (Atlantic salmon). RNAcentral's name for it is "lncRNA (ENSSSAG00000107479.1)". The record is from RNAcentral. Lineage: Eukaryota; Metazoa; Chordata; Actinopteri; Salmoniformes; Salmonidae.